Long non-coding RNA from Morus notabilis, 1133 nucleotides. RefSeq lists it as uncharacterized. The transcript is spliced from 5 exons. The record is from RefSeq and is a predicted model, not a curated record. Lineage: Eukaryota; Viridiplantae; Streptophyta; Magnoliopsida; Rosales; Moraceae.
UGCCUUCAUUUAAUAAAAAUUUCAUUAAUUCCCAAACUAUCCCUCUGUCUCCACCGCAAAUCUCUCUCUCUCUCUACUCCGCCAUUCUCAGAUCCAGGUGAUCUGAGCCUGUCGACACGGUCGCCGCCGUUCCGUUCCGAUCUCGGUAGCGAUCAGUGAGAGAUGGAGAAUCUAAUCUCUCUGGUGAACAUAAUCCAGAGGGCUUGCACGGCUCUCGGCGACCAUGGCGAAGGCAGCACGUUGCCUACUCUCUGGGACUCUCUCCCGGUGAUCGCCGUCGUUGGUGGCCAGGAAUUGUUACUCGGCGUCCUCUUGUGUUGCAACUUCAUAAGAUUUCUGAAGGCAUAAGAGAAUAUGCGGAGUUUCUCCAUCUCUCAAGAAAAAGAUUUACUGAUUUUGGGUGUUUAGAGGCAACACUCCUUUGAGAGCUAAAUGUAUGUAGUUAAUGAGUUAUAUUCAUUUUACAUGACAAUGUUGAUUAUAUCUGUGAGGCACCACUCCUCUAGUGUUCCAAUUCAUCUUAGCAUCUAUUCUCCCAACGUUGUCAACUUGACCCUUAUUGAUCUUCCCGGGCUUACAAAAGUAGCAGUUGAGUAGGGUCUCCCCAGAUGCUCCUAGAUGCGGUUUUAGCUCCAAAGUCGUUAAUGCCCUUAAAGAGGAGAAUGUGAGUUUUGGCUCCUUUGACAUCACGACUGAUGAGGAAGUUAGGCAGGGGCUGAAAGUCUUUUCAAACUGGCCAACCUUUCCACAGCUUUAUUACAAAGGGGAACUCAUAGUGUUCCGAUGCUAUGAUAUGGAUUUCCGAUAUAAUUAAUGUUUCAUACUCCAAAUUUUGAUAAAUCUUAGCUACCAAUUAGUUUUGCUGCUUGGUUCUUUUUGUCGUAGCUUAUGUAGUUAUGGAUAUAUAUGUUUGCAAGAACUAUUCCUUUCUGAAAUGAUAUAUCAAUGUGUGUAUUUACGUGUGUGUGUGGAUAUGAAUGUGUGUAUUUUGAAAUGAUAUUUUCAUUUGCUCUUUUUUCUUGUGUAUGGGUAUCAAUGUGUGAAUUUGCUCAUUUACGUGUGUGUGUGUGUGUAUGGAUAUCAAUAGGAAACUGAAGACCACCAACUAGGAAGUUGAAGGCCACAUACAAGGC